This 501-nucleotide ribosomal RNA is filed under the name Salmonella enterica subsp. enterica serovar Newport. Its description in RNAcentral is "partial 23S ribosomal RNA". It matches the Rfam family "Bacterial large subunit ribosomal RNA", at positions 21 to 561 of the family's 2925-position model. The record is from RNAcentral. RNAcentral also lists the same sequence under 1 other name. Lineage: Bacteria; Pseudomonadati; Pseudomonadota; Gammaproteobacteria; Enterobacterales; Enterobacteriaceae.
ACGGUGGAUGCCCUGGCAGUCAGAGGCGAUGAAGGACGUGCUAAUCUGCGAUAAGCGCCGGUAAGGUGAUAUGAACCGUUAUAACCGGCGAUUUCCGAAUGGGGAAACCCAGUGUGAUUCGUCACACUAUCAUUAACUGAAUCCAUAGGUUAAUGAGGCGAACCGGGGGAACUGAAACAUCUAAGUACCCCGAGGAAAAGAAAUCAACCGAGAUUCCCCCAGUAGCGGCGAGCGAACGGGGAGGAGCCCAGAGCCUGAAUCAGCAUGUGUGUUAGUGGAAGCGUCUGGAAAGGCGCGCGAUACAGGGUGACAGCCCCGUACACAAAAGCGCAUGUGCUGUGAGCUCGAUGAGUAGGGCGGGACACGUGGUAUCCUGUCUGAAUAUGGGGGGACCAUCCUCCAAGGCUAAAUACUCCUGACUGACCGAUAGUGAACCAGUACCGUGAGGGAAAGGCGAAAAGAACCCCGGCGAGGGGAGUGAAAAAGAACCUGAAACCGUGU